CCCGCUGCUGCCGACGGCCCGGGUGGCCGCCAGCUACCUGCUGGCCGGCGCGGACACGGCCGCGGGCGGCGACUGGUUCGACGCCGUUCCGCGGGCC
This 97-nucleotide transfer RNA is filed under the name Dactylosporangium vinaceum subsp. matsuzakiense. RNAcentral describes it as "Dactylosporangium matsuzakiense tRNA-Gly". The record is from RNAcentral. Lineage: Bacteria; Bacillati; Actinomycetota; Actinomycetes; Micromonosporales; Micromonosporaceae.